RNAcentral lists this ribosomal RNA (216 nucleotides) under uncultured bacterium. RNAcentral describes it as "partial 16S ribosomal RNA". It matches the Rfam family "Bacterial small subunit ribosomal RNA", at positions 118 to 351 of the family's 1533-position model. The record is from RNAcentral.
UGGGAACGUACCCUUUGGUUCGGAACAACCCAGGGAAACUUGGGCUAAUACCGGAUAAGUCCGUAAGGAGGAAGAUUUAUCGCCAAAGGAUCGGCCCGCGUCUGAUUAGCUAGUUGGUAGAGUAAUGGCCUACCAAGGCUACGAUCAGUAGCUGGUCUGAGAGGAUGAUCAGCCACAUUGGGACUGAGACACGGCCCAAACUCCUACGGGAGACAG